RNAcentral lists this ribosomal RNA (78 nucleotides) under Lobaria orientalis. Its description in RNAcentral is "partial 18S ribosomal RNA". The record is from RNAcentral. Lineage: Eukaryota; Fungi; Ascomycota; Lecanoromycetes; Peltigerales; Lobariaceae.
AAGUCGUACAAGGUUUCCGUAAGGUGAACCUGCGGAAGGAUCAUUAUCGAGAGGGGCGUCAGCCUCGGGGGGCUUCGG